AGGUAGCAUAAUCAUUUGCCUUUUAAUUGGAGGCUAGAAUGAAAGAGGUGACGAAAUUUAGGCUAUUUGUUUAUAUAUUAAAAUUAACAUAAAGGUUAAAAGGCUUUUAUAAACCAAAGGGACGAUAAGACCCUAUAAAACUUUACUAUAGAUGUAGUUAAAUAGACAAAACUUAAAUUUUAUAGUUUAACUGGGGCGGUUUAUAUAAAAACAAUUAAAAUAAAAAUAUUUAAAAUAGAAAGAGAGAACUUUAAUUUAAAAUGAAUAAGUUACUUUAGGGAUAACAGCAUAAUUCUCCCAGAGAGUCCUAAUUGGCGGGAGAGCUUAUGACCUCGAUGUUGAAUUGGGAGGUCUAAUAUAAGUAGAAAUAUAUUAAGAGGGUCUGUUCGACCUUUAAACUCCC
Molecule: ribosomal RNA, 403 nt
Filed under: Proasellus beroni
Lineage: Eukaryota; Metazoa; Arthropoda; Malacostraca; Isopoda; Asellidae
Description: partial 16S ribosomal RNA
Rfam family: Bacterial large subunit ribosomal RNA
Source: RNAcentral